CCUUCGGGUACAAUUGAGACAGGUGGUGCAUGGUUGUCGUCAGCUCGUGUCGUGAGAUGUUGGGGUUAAGUCCCGCAACGAGCGCAACCCUUGUGUUUAGUUGCAAACAGGUCAAGCUGUGCACUCUAGACAGACUGCCGUGGACAACACGGAGGAAGGUGGGGAUGACGUCAAAUCAUCAUGCCCCUUAUGAUCUGGGCUACACACGUGCUACAAUGGCCGGUACAACGGGCAGCGAAGGAGCGAUCCGGAGCGAAUCCUAAAAAGCCGGUCCCAGUUCGGAUUGCAGGCUGAAACUCGCCUACAUGAAGUUGGAGUUGCUAGUAAUCGCGAAUCAGAAUGUCGCGGUGAAUGCGUUCCCGGGUCUU
This 368-nucleotide ribosomal RNA is filed under the name uncultured Fusibacter sp. RNAcentral describes it as "bacterial SSU rRNA". It matches the Rfam family "Bacterial small subunit ribosomal RNA", at positions 1017 to 1382 of the family's 1533-position model. Lineage: Bacteria; Bacillati; Bacillota; Clostridia; Eubacteriales; Fusibacteraceae. The record is from RNAcentral.